AAUUGCUAGGGGCUGGCUGGAUUGCUGUUGGUUUUUCCCCUCCUGGUGGCUUUGCUUGGUUUGGGUUUAGUUUGGGAACAAACUUGUUUUAUAUCAACACUUCCUUCUACAUCGGGCGCCGUCGCCUCAACUGCGCGUGGGGGGCGAGGCGCCCACCCCGCACAAGAACAGAGGAGCGGGGGAGAAGAGACGGCCUCGCUGCUCACUGGGCCCCUUUGUGUGACUAAAUUUGGCAAGAAUAUGGAUCUGAGCCAGUCUUUCCACGUGUGCUCCCAGCUCCCAGCUGAGAAGGCCAAGGGUUCUCUUCCGGGUAAGGAGACAGGGAGAAAGAUCAAAGAGUUUGGGGAGCUGGAUCUGAAAUGUGAAUUGAAAAUAAAAAUCAAGCCUGGACACAUUCCAGUUUCUAAAGCAAAACCAACCCUCAGCAGAGGCCGGCUCUCUAUAUAGCUCUCUUUCUUUCUCUCUCUGCUCCCUUUGACUCUUUUCUGUGACCAUUCUUGAGCACAUGGUAUAAAAUAAAGAGAACAUAGGGAAACAGUUUCUCUAUAUUUCGUUUUGG
Long non-coding RNA from Homo sapiens (human), 559 nucleotides. Ensembl annotates it as LEF1 antisense RNA 1. Its record names the gene LEF1-AS1. The record is from Ensembl. NCBI's taxonomy places the organism in Eukaryota, Metazoa, Chordata, Mammalia, Primates, Hominidae.